GAAUUUAGUUUAGUUUUAAUUUCCCUUUUAAUUGCUUAAAUCAACUACAUCAGUUGGCAAACACUUGUCGGGCUAUGUAAACUCCCUGCAUCUGCAAAGGGAGUGGAUCUGCUAUCCCUUCCCCCAUCACUACCACCACCAUCAUCACCGCCGGACCAGUGAACACCAGGCUCGGCACAUCAUUUCACCGUUAUGGCAAAUGAAUUCUCAGAAAACAGAGACGGAACUGCCAACUCACGCCAUGCCAACCUCACGUCGUCACUAGACCUGAGCACGUCUCUGGAUCACAGCGUGCAGACGCGGAUUUUUAAAAUCAUUGUCAUCGGGGACUCAAAUGUGGGAAAGACCUGUUUAACCUUCCGCUUCACCGGCGGAGCCUUCCCGUGCAAAACUGAAGCCACCAUCGGCGUGGAUUUCAGGGAGAAAGCGGUGGAGAUCGAGGGCGAGAAAAUAAAGGUACAAGUAUGGGACACAGCAGGCCAGGAGCGCUUUCGAAAGAGCAUGGUUGAGCACUACUACCGCAAUGUGCAUGCCGUUGUUUUUGUGUACGACGUCACUAAGAUGGCCUCAUUCCAAAACCUAAAAACCUGGAUUCAGGAGUGCAACGGUCACGGGGUGUCAUCGGCAGUGCCUCGUGUUUUGGUGGGCAACAAAUGUGAUCUAGUUGACCAGAUCCAGGUGCCUUCCAACACUGCCCUCAAGUUUGCCGAUGCCUAUAACAUGCUACUGUUUGAAACAUCAGCCAAAGAUCCCAAGGAGAGCCAGAACGUGGACUCCAUUUUCAUGUGCCUGGCAUGUCGUCUAAAAGCCCAAAAGUCCCUGAUUUACAGAGAUGUGGAGAGAGAAGAUGGCAGAGUAAGGCUGACGCAUCAACCAGACCCCAAGAGUAACUGCCCGUGCUGAGGACCUUAAACUGUGAAAUUACUAACAUUGAUAAUUUACAAUGCAAGAAUGUGCCUGCGACUAAUUUUAGUUACUCAAUGACAGCUGCUCCAUGAACUUUCUCAGUUUUUCUGUCCUAUUGGGAUACAAUAUCUCUUCUACCAGGGAGUCCUGAUCAAGCUACUGUAGGCACCAUGACACAGUUGAAGAAAUACAGGAUAUCACAUAUAACUCGCAAACACACAAAACAAGGUUCUUAAAAUAGUAUAAA
Danio rerio (zebrafish) is the source of this 1153-nucleotide non-coding RNA. Lineage: Eukaryota; Metazoa; Chordata; Actinopteri; Cypriniformes; Danionidae. The record is from RefSeq and is a predicted model, not a curated record.